Molecule: long non-coding RNA, 1330 nt
Organism: Lates calcarifer (barramundi perch)
Lineage: Eukaryota; Metazoa; Chordata; Actinopteri; Centropomidae
Exons: 6
Source: RefSeq, a predicted model, not a curated record
GUCAUAGUAUAGUAAGGCAUGAAAAAAAAAUGUGAAAAAAUAUCAGUAUUGUAAGGUGUCAAAAACGGUCAUAAAAUGUCAUAGUAUAUUAAGGUGUCAAAAAAUGUCAUAGUAAAGUGUCAAGAAAAGUGAAAAAAUGUCAUAGUAUAAUAAAGUGUCAAAAAAAAGUGAAAAAAUGUCAUAAUAUAAUAAGGUGUUAAAAAAUGUCAUAGUAUAGUAAGGUUUGAAAAAUAGUCAAAAAAUGUCAUAGUAUAGUAAGGUUUGAAAAACUGCCAAAAAAUGUCAUAGUAUAGUAAGGUGUCAAAAACGGUCAAAAAAUGUCAUAGUAUAGUAAGGCGUCAAAAAAUGUGAAAAAAUGUCAGAGUAUAGUAAGGCAUCAAAAAAUGUGAAAAAAUGUCAUAGUAUAGUAAGGUUUGAAAAACUGUCAAAAAAUGUCAUAGUAUAGUAAGGCUUGAAAAACUGUCAAAAAAUGUCAUAGUAUAGUAAGGUGUCAAAAACGGUCAAAAAAUGUCAUAGUAUAGUAAGGCGUCAAAAAUUUACAAAAAAUAUCACAGUAUAGUAAGGCAUCAAAAAAUGUGAAAAAAUGUCAUAGUAUAGUAAGGUUUGAAAAACUGUCAAAAAAUGUCAUAGUAUAGUAAGGUUUGAAAAACUGCCAAAAAAUGUCAUAGUAUAGUAAGGCUUGAAAAAUAGUCAAAAAAUGUCAUAGUAUAGUAAGGCAUCAAAAACGGUCAAAAAAUGUCAUAGUAUAGUAAGGCAUCAAAAACAGUCAGAAAAUGUCAUAGUAUAGUAAGGCAUCAAAAACGGUCAAAAAAUGUCAUAGUAUAGUAAGGUGUCAAAAAUGGUCAAAAAAUGUCAUAGUAUAGUAAGGUGUCAAAAAUGGUCAAAAAAUGUCAUAGUAUAGUAAGGCGUCAAAAACGGUCAAAAAAUGUCAUAGUAUAGUAAGGCGUCAAAAAUGGUCAAAAAAUGUCAUAGUAUAGUAAGGCGUCAAAAACGGUCAAAAAAUGUCAUAGUAUAGUAAGGCGUCAAAAACGGUCAAAAAAUGUCAUAGUAUAGUAAAGUGUCAAAAAAAGUGAAAAAAUGUCAUAGUAUAGUAAGGUGUCAAAAAUGGUCAAAAAAUGUCAUAGUAUAGUAAGGUGUCAAAAACGGUCAAAAAAUGUCAUAGUAUAGUAAGGCGUCAAAAAUGGUCAAAAAAUUUCAUAGUAUAGUAAGGCGUCAAAAAUGGUCAGAAAAUGUCAUAGUAUAGUAAGACGUCAAAAAAUGUGAAAAAAUGUCAUAGUAUAGUAAGGUGUCAAAAAUGGUCAGAAAAUGUCAUAGUAUAGUAAGGUGUCAA